Molecule: unclassified non-coding RNA, 341 nt
Filed under: soil metagenome
Description: partial contains 5.8S ribosomal RNA, internal transcribed spacer 2, and large subunit ribosomal RNA
Rfam family: 5.8S ribosomal RNA (bases 1-120)
Source: RNAcentral
GAUGAAGAACGUAGCGAAAUGCGAUACGUAGUGUGAAUUGCAGAAUUCAGUGAAUCAUCGAAUCUUUGAACGCACAUUGCACCUCUCGGUAUUCCGGGAGGUAUGCCUGUUCGAGCGUCAUUUGUACCCUCAAGCUCUGCUUGGUGUUGGGUGUUUGCUCCGCCUCUGUGUGUGAACUCGCCUCAAAACAAUUGGCAGCCGGCGUACUUGUUUCGGAGCGCAGCACAUUUUGCGAUCCAGAUCAACGUACAGCGGCAUCCAAGAAGCCUUAUUUUUAACGCUCUUGACCUCGGAUCAGGUAGGGAUACCCGCUGAACUUAAGCAUAUCAAUAAGCGGAGGA